Molecule: transfer RNA, 76 nt
Filed under: Arabidopsis thaliana (thale cress)
Lineage: Eukaryota; Viridiplantae; Streptophyta; Magnoliopsida; Brassicales; Brassicaceae
Description: tRNA-Arg(ACG)
Rfam family: tRNA
About the family: Transfer RNA (tRNA) molecules are approximately 80 nucleotides in length. Their secondary structure includes four short double-helical elements and three loops (D, anti-codon, and T loops). Further hydrogen bonds mediate the characteristic L-shaped molecular structure. tRNAs have two regions of fundamental functional importance: the anti-codon, which is responsible for specific mRNA codon recognition, and the 3' end, to which the tRNAs corresponding amino acid is attached (by aminoacyl-tRNA synthetases). tRNAs cope with the degeneracy of the genetic code in two manners: having more than one tRNA (with a specific anti-codon) for a particular amino acid; and 'wobble' base-pairing, i.e. permitting non-standard base-pairing at the 3rd anti-codon position.
Source: RNAcentral
GGUUCCAUGGCCCAAUGGAUAAGGCGCUGGUCUACGAAACCAGAGAUUCUGGGUUCGAUCCCCAGUGGAAUCGUUC